GAUGAAGAACGUAGCGAAAUGCGAUAAGUAAUGUGAAUUGCAGAAUUCAGUGAAUCAUCGAAUCUUUGAACGCACAUUGCGCCCGCCAGGAUUCUGGCGGGCAUGCCUGUUCGAGCGUCAUUUCAACCAUCAAGCCCCCGGCUUGUGUUGGGGACCUGCGGCUGCCGCAGGCCCUGAAAACCAGUGGCGGGCUCGCUAGUCACUCCGAGCGUAGUAAUACAUCUCGCUCAGGGCGUGCUGCGGGUUCCGGCCGUUAAAAGCCUUAUUUACCCAAGGUUGACCUCGGAUCAGGUAGGAAGACCCGCUGAACUUAAGCAUAUCAAUAAGCGGAGGA
This 334-nucleotide unclassified non-coding RNA is filed under the name soil metagenome. Its description in RNAcentral is "partial contains 5.8S ribosomal RNA, internal transcribed spacer 2, and large subunit ribosomal RNA". The stretch from base 1 to 120 matches the Rfam family "5.8S ribosomal RNA", at positions 35 to 154 of the family's 154-position model. The record is from RNAcentral.